Long non-coding RNA from Xenia sp. Carnegie-2017, 1398 nucleotides. RefSeq lists it as uncharacterized. Lineage: Eukaryota; Metazoa; Cnidaria; Anthozoa; Malacalcyonacea; Xeniidae. The record is from RefSeq and is a predicted model, not a curated record. The transcript has 2 exons.
UAUUCUCAUGCGAAAUUGUUCAUCGAAUUGUUUUUUAAUUAUUAAAGUUUCAUUUCCUGUAAGUUGUAUUGAUAAGCGACACGUUUUACAAGGAAUCACGUUUUGGAGGCGGAGCUUACAACAUCCGUAUUUAUAAACCGAAACAGCUGUUGGCAGUCGUAAACUGUGUUCGUCGUCCUCGUCCAGACAGGAUCUUCGCAAUAAACGCGCUACUUUGAAAGCUAUAUGUACAUUAAGGAAUAGUUCAUAUAUAAAAAGAACACAUACACCGCUAUGGCUCCGAUAGAGCGUAAUAUGAAGGAUAAAGAGAGUUCAAAGAAGCAGGCAAAGCAGGCAAAUUCGAACUCAGAUAUUGAUGAGAAGAGACUUUGCGGACACUUUGUCUCGACCACGGCAAAGCAAAACUUGUUCAAUCAUCGACAACAGGUUAUCAAGGCAUGCACGUGGACAUUACAUCAUGCAUGCAAUUGCCGUGACAGUAAUUGUGAUGUUAAACACUGCCAGACCAUGAAACGCGUUUGGCAGCACGUAUUGGGCUGCCAAAAACAUCCGCGAGUUUGUCAAAUCUGCAAAAAUUUCCACACUAUUGUUGGAUACCAUUCGAAGACGUGCAACAACAACGCUUGCACUCUGGUGUUUUGCAACGCCAUCAAGAAACGAAGAAACAGCCGAGUUCAAUUCUUCAAGAAGUAGAUCUGAUAGACUGAUGUUGGCGUUAUUUUUAAAAGCACAGUUGAGGCAAGAUGAUGUGCAUCUUGGUUAGCUUGACUGUUUUUUUGCUAACCAUUUAGCAAAAUUCCAUUGUUUUUAACGAAUGGAGUGGGGACUAGUUAAACUGACGUAUUUGUUAUUUUUUUAUAAUAUUGCUCGAAAGCUACGAGCAACUUCUACACAAACCGCAUGGUUUUUAUUGCAUUGACAUAUACAAGAGCUGCACUUGGUAAUGGAAUUUUUCAUAACGGUAUAAACGACCUUGCAUAUAAAUAAUCCUAUGUAUUGACAGAAGGAAAACGUCAUUUUCCGCUAGGUACAAGUGUCUUUGCACCAUUUUCUACGUGACCUCAGCCAGGAAUGUAAGGAGUGAAGAAUAACAUUUAAUUUAUCCCUGUUUAGCCGAAACAACUUAACUACGUCAUUACAAGAAAGUACAAAAAUUUUACUUAUUCAUUUUUCCUCCCUUUGCAAUUUCUAUUUCAUAAACUGCGAAAAUAUUUCAUAAACUACGAUGCAAUAGAGGCCCACAUAUACGCCUACAUACUUAUGAAAUAAGUGACUAGUUGGGAUUGUAAUUUUAAUUUAUUUUUUUGAUGACACGUAUAUUGUACGUUAAAAACAUACCUACCAUUGUACAGAUACUACAAGAAAAUCUCAUUAAAAUAGUUUUGUUUUCCUCUUUAA